CCUACGGGAGUCAGCAGUGGGGAAUAUUGCACAAUGGAGGGAACUCUGAUGCAGCGACGCCGCGGGAGUGCAGAAGUAAUUCGUUAUGUAAAGCUCUAUCAGCAGGGAAGAAAGUGACGGUACCUGAAAAAGAAGCUCCGGCUAAAUACGUGCCAGCAGCCGCGGUAAUACGUAUGGAGCAAGCGUUAUCCGGAGUUACUGGGUGUAAAGGGAGAGUAGGUGGAAAGUCAAGUCCGAAUUGAAACCCCAAAGCUCAACUAUGGGAAUGCUUUAGAAACUGCUCAGCUAGAGUGCAGGAGAGGCAAGUGGAAUUCUUAGUGGAGCGGUGAGAUGCGUAGAGAUUAGGAGGAACACCAGUGGCGAAGGCGGCUUGCUGGACUGUAACUGACACUGAGGCUCGAAAGCGUGGGGAGCAAACAGGAUUAGAUACCCCUGUAGUC
Molecule: ribosomal RNA, 440 nt
Filed under: uncultured bacterium
Lineage: Bacteria
Description: partial 16S ribosomal RNA
Rfam family: Bacterial small subunit ribosomal RNA
Source: RNAcentral